GAUGAACGCUGGCGGCGUGCUUAACACAUGCAAGUCGAACGAAGCAUACGAAUUGGAUUUCUUCGGAAAAAAGAAUCGUAUGACUGAGUGGCGGACGGGUGAGUAACGCGUGGGUAACCUACCUCAUACAGGGGGAUAACAGUUAGAAAUGACUGCUAAUACCGCAUAAGCGCACAGGACCACAUGGUUCGGUGUGAAAAACUCCGGUGGUAUGAGAUGGACCCGCGUCUGAUUAGCUAGUUGGUAAGGUAAUGGCUUACCAAGGCGACGAUCAGUAGCCGACCUGAGAGGGUGAUCGGCCACAUUGGGACUGAGACACGGCCCAAACUCCUACGGGAGGCAGCAGUGGGGAAUAUUGCACAAUGGGGGAAACCCUGAUGCAGCGACGCCGCGUGAAGGAAGACGUGUUUCGGCAUGUAAACUUCUAUCAGCAGGGAAGAAAAUGACGGUACCUGACUAAGAAGCCCCGGCUAACUACGUGCCAGCCGCCGCAGUAA
Molecule: ribosomal RNA, 497 nt
Filed under: uncultured bacterium
Lineage: Bacteria
Description: partial 16S ribosomal RNA
Rfam family: Bacterial small subunit ribosomal RNA
Source: RNAcentral